UUGAAACGGGAAAACGGGGGGCAAUUCCGUGAGUAUAGUGGCGUACGGGUGAGUAACACGUGACUACCUACCUUUGAGUGGGGGAUAACCCCGGGAAACCGGGGCUAAUACCGCAUAACAUCGCAAGAUCAAAGAAGCAAUUCGCUUAAAGAGGGGGUCGCGGCUGAUUAGCUAGUUGGUAGGGUAAUGGCCUACCAAGGCGGUGAUCGGUAGCCGGCCUGAGAGGGCGCACGGCCACACUGGAACUGAAACACGGUCCAGACUCCUACGGGAGGCAGCAGUGGGGAAUUUUGCGCAAUGGGGGAAACCCUGACGCAGCAACGCCGCGUGGAGGAUGAAGUCCCUUGGGACGUAAACUCCUUUCGACCGGGACGAUUAUGACGGUACCGGUGGAAGAAGCCC
RNAcentral lists this ribosomal RNA (402 nucleotides) under uncultured soil bacterium. RNAcentral describes it as "bacterial SSU rRNA". It matches the Rfam family "Bacterial small subunit ribosomal RNA", at positions 62 to 493 of the family's 1533-position model. The record is from RNAcentral.